UUUGGCCUUUAUCCUAAAAAAAAUUAUCCUAAACGUGCUGCAUCGGGCCGCCGUCCCUUGUUCAUUCGCCGAGCCCGCGUCCCUUGCGACUUUCUCCGCUCGUCGGGGACGCGACGCACACUGCAUCUUCGCCAUCCUUCUCACGUCAGGGACACACACGGUGUCGUCACCAUCCUCCUCGCGUCGGGGAAGGUGCCGCCGCCGCCGCUCCUCCGCGCGACCUGAGAUGCUAAGGCUGCCGUUCUCCUCCGCACAGCCAGGGACGACGCAAGCACCGACGCCCCCAUCCCCAACUGCAUCAGUUCAGAGGUACGCCCCUUUCCUCACUCGUUCUUGUUUGUUCCUUGCCGACGGCGCCCACCGGCGCACAGCAGCCGAUUGGUCGCAACCCACAGAUCCACGCAGCUGCCUGCCAGUGACUCAGCCCAGGAGGAAAGCAGCAACUCCUCUCGACCUCUCCAAAAUCCCGAGUCCCUGCCAGUAUUUGAUUUGCCAGUUGCUCUCCUGAUUUGCAAGUGUUCAUAUGUCUUGAUAAAAUUGCCCUUUUUCAUGGAGAAUAUUUGCAACUGAUGUGAGUACUGCUUUUUUGCAUGAGAGAUUUGUAGGUGUAGUGAUGUAAGUACUGCCUGUAUAAGGGGAAAAUAACCUGCAAGACGAUGCAGGUAAUUUCCUUUGAUUCUUUCAUAUAUCCCUAAAUUUCACUUACAAGUUACAACAUUGUCUAUUCAUCUAAAUACUGAUUUCUACAGCUUAAAUUGUAUCCAGUAAAGAAUUCUGGUUAGCACUGGUUAGCAUGACAUCAAUCUGAGUAAACUGUAUCGAGUGAAGCAUUGUUAACAUGAGAACAAUCUGACUGCGUCAAAUUUCCAAUUUAUAUCCAUAGUGCCUCAAAAGAAAUUGUAUCUAGUGAGAAUUUGUUGUUAGGAUGAGUGCAUAACAGCUUUCCUUCAGCCUAGCCUGCCCUGCUAUUUGUUUGUAGGUCCGUCACAGAAACACCCAAAAGUAUUUAAAACUAUAGUAUUUUUUAGAAACCGCAGUAUAUUCCAACUACUAAGAAAAUACAUAGCUGCCAAACGGGCCCUUAGAUUUCCUAUUUCACGUGCAUCACUAAAGGUUACCGUUGACACAUAAGUUUCUCAGCGAAAUAGAUGCAGGAUUCUUCUACUCAAACAUUAAGCGAGAAAAGAUGGUUUCUGCCGAAGGACGCCAAGUUGACGAACAUGUCAAGAAGAUCAUUGAAUUGAAAUAUAAGGAAGUUACAGUAAUUUUGUGGUGAUCAACCAGAAAAGCAUUGGUCUUCGUUAUCCAUCGAUCUCCUAGCUAGAGUAGUGGUAACUAAUUCUGACUUGUUACUACAUGAUGGUUCUAAUUCACUUACAUCUAACCUUGUGAUCUUUUGGGGUUCCAGUUCAGUUCAGAAUGUGGGUCAUGAUGUAACCAGCUGAACUUGGAACACGAAAGUUGUUUGAUAUUAUACAUAAUACUACUCAAGACAAAACCCAUGUAGAAACUAGACUUCCUAUGGUGGCUCAGUCUGGCAGGCUCAUCUUUCCCAGCUGCCAAUGAAUUAUUAUUUUAUCUCCUUUCGUGUAUAUAAUUAGGCUGCACUCUUGCCUAUACUAAUUAGAUCCUGCACCCCUGAAGGUCAAGUCAGGGGCUCAGGGUUGGCGUGGAUUAGAUAAUUCGUAGUUCUCCUGCUCUCCCCCCUUUCUGUUUCUUAUUCAUUAUGCAUGUAUUCUUUCUAUGCAUGAGUUGAUAACUCCAACUGUCCCAAGUCUGAUGAUGUUCUUUUUCUCGUGUUGUUGCUUCUGCAGGUUCUGCAAAUUUCAUUCACAGAUCAGGAAAUUCUAAUCUGUGACUCGGUAAUCUCUUGUGUGAUGUAGAUUAUGUACAGAUUUUUGAGUUUUUGGCACUGAGAUUUCUCCUAAUACAUGCAUGACUAAUAAAUAAUCUGAAGCAGGAGUAGUACGGGAGUAAUGUGACGCAAAGCGAAUUAAUGCCGAGACCUCUCGAAAAUGGAAAUAUUCAAUUCAGUAUAUUUGGUAUUAUUAGUUACCUACUUGUCAUUUAGUUGGUUGGUGAAUUCAUUUCAUUGUUUGUAUAAUAUAUAUUUUGGAUUGUUUUAGUAGUAUAUGCAAGUUGAUGGUUGUUCACAAUGAACAACCACAUCUCAAAGGUACUCGCUGUAUUAGUAUCUUUUAGUAGUAUAUGAUGUUUGUAUGGACAUUCCGAAUAUGUGCUAGGCAAUUAAGAUAAAUAGAAUGUCCUCAGUUUACAAAGAAUGGGUGAAGAGUGAAGAUUCAAAGCCUAUGUGUUUGUACUCCAUAGCAUGGUGAUGACCCUUUUGCUAGUGUGUAUUGUUGUUAUUUUUUAACAGAGUAAUGCUACUGACAUUGCAAGUAUAUGCAGUUUCCACAUCUGAAUUUUGGCCUUUUUUUAAGAGCAAAUAGACUGGAACACUAAUAACAUAUAAUGAUAGUUCAUAUAGUUUUGAGUUGAUGCAAGAUGCAAAAAUAAUUAGUACACGGAUAUAGAUUGCAUAAUCUGAGAUGUUAUUUCAUAAAUUCAUGUUCAUUUUUUUGUAUUCACAUUAUUAAUUAUCCCCUUAUCUAUAUAAUAAAUCUAGGUCUUGAUAAAUCACAUUUUUAAGGUGCUCCUUUAAAUUGUACUUCUCUAUUAACCUGAUUUCUAUAAUGUAAGUUGCUCAUCUAAUAGUAUUAUUGUUGUUGUUGUUGUUGUAGAUCACGAAGAUAAAUUGAUAAUGCAUGGCUCGCAUGUUGAUUGCAAGGUUAAGAAUGGGGCUACUACAAGAUACUUAGAAUUUCAUUUUUAGGAUCAAUGUUUCAGACAUCAUAGUUGAUUGCAAGGUCAAGAAUUCGGCUACAGAUAGAUAGUUUCACCUCUUGUAAUCCUUGGAUCACGUCCUUUGUAAUGCAACAUAGUCAAUUUAAUAUAUGAGAAGUUUCUGUUUGGCCUCCAAC
This is a long non-coding RNA of Triticum dicoccoides, 2981 nucleotides long. RefSeq lists it as uncharacterized. The record is from RefSeq and is a predicted model, not a curated record. The transcript has 2 exons. Lineage: Eukaryota; Viridiplantae; Streptophyta; Magnoliopsida; Poales; Poaceae.